GACGAACGCUGGCGGCGUGCUUAACACAUGCAAGUCGAACGGAAAGGCCCUGCUUUUGUGGGGUGCUCGAGUGGCGAACGGGUGAGUAACACGUGAGUAACCUGCCCUUGACUUUGGGAUAACUUCAGGAAACUGGGGCUAAUACCGGAUAGGAGCUCCUGCUGCAUGGUGGGGGUUGGAAAGUUUCGGCGGUUGGGGAUGGACUCGCGGCUUAUCAUCUUGUUGGUGGGGUAGUUGCUUACCAAGGCUUUGACGGGUAGCCGGCCUGUGAGGGUGACCGGCAACAUUGGGACUGAGAUACGGCCCAGACGCCAACGGGAGGCAGCAGUGGGGAAUAUUGCACAAUGGGCGGAAGCCUGAUGCAGCAACGCCGCGUGCGGGAUGACGGCCUUCGGGUUGUAAACCGCUUUCGCCUGUGACGAAGCGUGAGUGACGGUAAUGGGUAAAGAAGCACCGGCUAACUACGUG
RNAcentral lists this ribosomal RNA (468 nucleotides) under uncultured bacterium. RNAcentral's name for it is "partial 16S ribosomal RNA". It matches the Rfam family "Bacterial small subunit ribosomal RNA", at positions 28 to 507 of the family's 1533-position model. The record is from RNAcentral.